Molecule: long non-coding RNA, 268 nt
Filed under: Elaeis guineensis (African oil palm)
Lineage: Eukaryota; Viridiplantae; Streptophyta; Magnoliopsida; Arecales; Arecaceae
Description: long non-coding RNA (EGUI_LNC082608)
Source: RNAcentral
CGGCCCAGAUGUUGCCACGUGUCAUCAUUUGGUAGAUCUUUGAUUCGAUCGCUUUCAUCUUGAUCAUUGAUAAAUCUUAAAUAUAGGGUCACUCUCAACCAAAUCUUCACUUUUCUCUAUUUUUGGUACUGGAACUCUACCGGAUCGUUGCCCCUACACCCAGGGUUGUUGCUCCAGCUCAAGUUAACUUUUCUUUCGAAUCCUUUUUCCUUGAAGUUCUUGCCUUCUUUGGAGUCAUUUUCAUGGCUAGGGUUUCUCCUUCUCGGGA